RNA transcript from Daucus carota subsp. sativus, 4708 nucleotides. It is a transcript of the gene named chlorophyll a-b binding protein 7, chloroplastic-like, with no coding region annotated. The transcript has 4 exons. The record is from RefSeq and is a predicted model, not a curated record. NCBI's taxonomy places the organism in Eukaryota, Viridiplantae, Streptophyta, Magnoliopsida, Apiales, Apiaceae.
UAAAUUAAUAAAUUGUAUAUAAGCAUAUUCGAGUUGUACAAGAACAAUUCUCUGUAUCAGAGAACAGACACAUAAAUACACACACGUAACAUAUACAUACAGACAACAACUCAGCAGAGAUGGAGGCAGCACCGGCGACGGCGACAAAAGUUAGCCGGAAAAAGGCCCAGCCCACGAAAGAGGGCAUGAAAAGACCCAAGCCCACCAAAGUUUCAGUGGUGAGAAUCAAGUACACAGACCCUGACGCAACGGACGACUCCUCCUCCGACGAAACGACGUCGUCUCCGAAGCAGGUGGUUCACGAAGUUCACCUGAGGAAAACAAGCCCCAAGUACCCAGGAGCUCGUUUGAGGAAAUGGGGAAACUGGUGUGCUGAAAUUAGAAACCCAAUUACUAAGAGAAGGCAGUGGCUUGGGACUUACCCUACUGCUGAGGAAGCUUCCAGGGUGUAUCUUGAGAAGAAGAAGGAGUUUGGUGAGUUUGUUAAGAACUCGAAAGACCAAAUUAAGACUAGCCCAUGUUGAUUAAUUUGUUGAUUUAGGUGUUUAUUAAGAGCUAAGUUACCCGGACACGGGUAUGGGUAUCGGACAUGGGUACAGAUCCAAGAGUCAGAUUCGUAGUUUUAGGAUAAUUAGGAUUCGUGGACAUGGAUCCGGAAUUAGACUCGGGUACGGGGACUUGAUACUUAAGCUCCACGCAAGUAAGACUUUAUAUACCCUGAUUUAUGGUACAUUCAUAAAAAUAGUGUCUACUGCACAUAAAUGACAUACGCUGAAAAUUGAAGCAUAAAAUCAAUAAAACAACAUAGAAACAAGUCAUUCAUGGAUCUUGAUCUCUAUAAACAGGUUGAAACAAGACCUAAGUUUUCAUUUUGACCUGGAAUGUUACAAGGUGAGGUGUCCGGUUGUAAUAAGAAGGAUCCGACACAGAUCCCAUAUCCACACCCAUGUCAUAUCCGGUAGACACGGGUAUAGGCACAAAAAUGGAGAGUCCGGGUAACAUAGAUUAAGAGUUGCUGUAAUGGGGGUGUUUGUUGUGUUGGACAUAUAAGUGUACACAUGUUUAUGUGUGUUUGUUAUUGUACAUUGUUUUCGUGGUAAUUGAAUUUGUUCCCUUUGACUUCAAUCUUGCGUUUGUUGGUUUGUUUAUUUUGGUUUAUGGAUGUUCUAGGGUUAAAUGUUUAGAAUUGUUUCGUUUAUUUUGAGAAGCUGAAAAAGAAAGGUGUGUUUGUUGAGAAUAAGAAGGAUCACGUUAAGAAUUGGUGUAAUGGGGAUGUUUGUUGUGUUGGGCAUAUAGAUACGCACAUGCGUUAGUGUGUUUGUUAUUGUACAUUGGUUUUAUGGUAUCAAAUUUGUUCGCUUUAACUUUAAGAUUUGAGAUCAGGAUGACUAAGAAUCUAGUAAUGGAAACACCAUAAACUGACACCAAUGGCAUUCCUGCACCAUUCCUCUUGUUCAUGUUUACAGUUACUUGCCUCAAGUUUCAUGGCCAUGAAAUCCCAUGAUAUACGUACAAAUCUGAAAUUCACACACCCUUUUGCUUGCUUCUUGGUCUGAGUGAAGGCCGUAGCAAACAGCCCACUUGGAGAGUCUCUCCAGAGAAGAUUGGAGGAGAGAGAAAAGGUUAAGGUUGUUAAUGCUUCCAACUUAAACAAACUUUAUCAGCAGGCAAGAAUGGAUAGCUCGUAGUAUGGGGAAAAAUGCCCUCGAUGGCUUGGUCUGAUUCCAUAUGAUAUGAGUAUCCUGUCUAUCUUGAUGGACAAUGUCCUGGUAAUUAUGGCUUUGUUGUUGCUGGUUUAAGCGAAGACCUAGUGGCUUUUUAGAGAUUCUUCAAGUAUAUACUCAUUUCUUAUACUGGCCAUUUGUUUCCAUGGGUACACUCAGCUACUAUAUCACUUUGAUAUAUUGCAUGCUCGAUGGGCUAUGCUUGCUGCUCUUUGCCCUUUGAUUCCAGAAUCACUGAACUUACUCGGGGCCUUUAAUUUCAUUGAACCGGUCUGGUGGAGUGUAGGCUAUAAUAAGCUUCAGGUACUAUUCUUCUUUCUGGUGUGCUCCGGAACUAUCCUCUCCGCCCUCCCCCUCCCCCCAAAGCAUGCAUUUUUAAACCUCUUUGCUUGUUUGAAUGCAUAUCAUGACACUAUGAUUUCACACUAUAUUUUUUACAUCUAUGAUGCAAACAUUUCUCAAUUGAUAUUUAUUUUGUCUCGCUGACGUAUAUACGUAAUGUGAUAGUUUUUUCAAUUUUUAUUAGACUUUCAAAAUAUAUUUAGGAUUAAAUAGUAGUCUAGAUAAUUUUUUGUUGCAUGCGCUCUGCCAAAUGCACCCCAAUGUCUAGAUUUUUUGUUUCUUAAGAUUAAAGUUCUCAUCAAUAUUAAGAUAAAAAAAAUAGUCUCCCAAUACCCAGACAGAUAAAGUAGAAAGACCAUGUGAGAGCAAUAGUCAGAGGUAGAUAAUUGAAUGAAUAAUUUACAGAAUUUUGAGCAACGCCUGCACUACAGUUAGAGGGUAUUGAAGUCGUAUGCAAGUGAGCUUGAGUAGGAUAGCCAGGCACGUGAAAGGUUAAUAGAUACUAGAAGCACGGGCUCCGUUCCAACAUCUCUCAAGUAUCUAUAUCUCUUAAUUUUUUAACUCUUUCUUAUUCACUAAAUGUUCUUCAACUCUUCAUCUUUAAUUCAACUUAAAAGUCCCAAACUGAACCAUUCCUAAAGUUCCAAUUUGACUAGAAAUUCUAGUUCACCUCUAUUUUCUAAUCUAAUUAAGUUGGGAUAAAAUGGUUCACUUUUUUUUUAGAAAAUAUAUAUGAUUUAAUAUUCAUUUUUCUGCUUCUCAAUGAUUAUUUUUCAGAAAAAAAUGUUAUCAGUCGAGGCUUUCUCUUUUUGAAAUAGACUGUGAUCAAUUUCUAGUUAGGAUAAUGUGAUUCUUGUUUUUGUGUUUCUAUGGGUAUAACCCAAAUUAUUAAAAUAUUUAUUAAUUUAACAUUUUAGUUAUAGAUAAUUGAUUGCAGAAAUCCCUUAACUUUUCCUGAAAACAAAAAUAAUAUAUAAGUUGGGGUGAUUGCGAUGCGGUUUUUUUUUUAAAACAGCAAAACAAGGUUUGAACGAAUAUUCAAACCGCAGUCAUACUAGCAUAAAAAUGGCAUAGAUCACAACACAAAAAUGCUAGCGGGCAGGGAUGGGGUCAAGUAUGGUUCUUCAGUUUGUCUGUAACAGCUCCAGGAUCUCUCCGGAGCCGUGAUGACGUUUUACUGGUUAGAGAUGGAUUGAGUGGGGUCAUGAGUGGGCCUUGGAUAAGUGUUGUCUUCUAGAGGGUGGGUGAUGACAUUUGGGAGGUGGAUGGGUGUGUCUUCUAGAGAAUGGGUGAUGGGAGGUGGAUGGGUGUGUCUUGUAGGGUGGGUGAUGGCAUCUAAAGGUGGGUGAUAUAAUAUAAGACUAGUCUCUCUUUUGUAUUUAAGUAUUUAAGAUUUGUAUUUGAUCUUUUCGUCAAAAAAAAAAAGAAGUUUCGUAUUUGAUUACUAAUCUAUGGGGUUAAUAGGCAAAAAGAUCACUGAACUCAUGGCCAACUUGCAGUUGGGUCAUUGAACUCAAAAAGUUUGCAAACGGAUCACAGAACUAAAUUUAAGUUGCAGUCAACUCACUGAACUAAUAAAAACUUGCAUUUAGGUCACUGUGCCGUUAAGAAUGAGUUGACUUUAACGGAAUCCGUUAAAGAUAAUAAUAAAAAAUAUAAAAAAUUUGAAAAAAAUAUAAAAAUUCAAUUUUCUCAAAAAAUUCUGAAAACUUAAAAAAAAUCUGAAAAUUUUGAAGAAACUUUAAAAAAUAUGGAAUGUUUUUAAAAAAUAUGAAAAAUGUAAAAAUUUCGAAAAAAAUCUAAAAAUUUUGAAAAAAAUUCAAAAAUUCAAAAAAAUCUGAAAAUUCAAAAAAUAUACCUAAAUUUCUGAAGUUAAAAAAAAAUUCAGACUUUUUCCAAAUUUCCAGAUUUUUUCGAAGUUUUAAAUUUUCAAAAUCGAGUUUUUAAAAAAGCGAAUUUUUAUAUUUUUUCAAUUUUUAUUAACGGAUUCCAUUAAAGUCAACUGAUACUUAACGGCACAGUGACCUAAAUGCAAAUUUUUAUUAGUUCAGUGAGUUGACUGCAAGUUAAAUCCAGUUCUGUGAUCCGUUUGCAAACUUUUUGAGUUCAGUGACCCAAUUGCAACUUGAUCAUGAGUUCGGUAAUUUUUUUGCCUAUUAACCCCUAAUCUAUGUAUAUAAUAGAGUUGUGUUAUGUGCAGUACUUAUUUUGGUGUAAUACUUAUAGACCAAAUAAUCUAUCAUUGAAUUAUAAAACUAAUGAAUGGUUGAGAUUAUUCAGGAAAUACAACAACUUUCAUUAACUAUAACAAUCUCGUAUAGAGAUUCACAUGGACCGUAUAUCUUGCAACUGUAAUGGUAUAUCACUACGAAAAAGUAAAAGUGACCGAGAUGCGAGGGGAAAACUUUUGUUUAACAUAUCCGGAAAGACCACCUAUUUGUUCGUUUACCGGGUUCGGCACGAAAUCAUAAAUAAGCUAUACCAAGGAUUGCCAUCGUGUACUUGUCUCUGUUAAAUCUUUCAAUUACAGAUUAAUUUUUUUUAUUGUAAAUAGAAAUACAAGACUAUCGUCUUGCUCUUGUACAUCGAUUUUAUAGCUUUAUGAAUAACAGGACUGUCGGACCGUUCAUUAUCGUCUUCAA